UGAUAUAGUAAACCGAUUUGAACCAAAUUUGGAAAGGAUGUAUAAGGCUUACUUUAAUGCAUAUUCAAUAAGUUUGGUUACGAUAUCUCAAAAAA
This is a long non-coding RNA of Drosophila innubila, 95 nucleotides long. RefSeq lists it as uncharacterized. The record is from RefSeq and is a predicted model, not a curated record. The transcript has 2 exons. Lineage: Eukaryota; Metazoa; Arthropoda; Insecta; Diptera; Drosophilidae.